GAUUAAGAACGCAGCGAAAUGCGAUACUUGGUGUGAAUUGCAGAAUCCCGUGAACCAUCGAGUCUUUGAACGCAAGUUGCGCCCGAAGCCAUUAGGCCGAGGGCACGCCUGCCUGGGCGUCACACGUCGUUGCCCCCCCAUCUACUCCUUCGGGAUUGCGGGGGGCGGAUGAUGGCCUCCCGUGCGCCUCGCCGCGCGGUUGGCAUAAAUGCCAAGUCCUCGGCGACGCACGCCACGACAAUCGGUGGUUGCGAAACCUCGGUUGCCCGUCGUGUGCGGUCGUCGCGCAUCGAGGGCUCGAAAAAAUUGCCGGGUUCCGGCUCGGCUUUCAACGCGACCCCAGGUCAGGCGGGGUUACCCGCUGAAUUUAAGCAUAUCAAUAAGCGGAGGA
Molecule: unclassified non-coding RNA, 391 nt
Filed under: soil metagenome
Description: partial contains 5.8S ribosomal RNA, internal transcribed spacer 2, and large subunit ribosomal RNA
Rfam family: 5.8S ribosomal RNA (bases 1-122)
Source: RNAcentral